Molecule: unclassified non-coding RNA, 22 nt
Filed under: Chlamydomonas reinhardtii
Lineage: Eukaryota; Viridiplantae; Chlorophyta; Chlorophyceae; Chlamydomonadales; Chlamydomonadaceae
Description: small RNA Cre_1031
Source: RNAcentral
CCCACGCAGCCGCCGCAGCCCC